This is a non-coding RNA of Hippocampus comes (tiger tail seahorse), 558 nucleotides long. NCBI's taxonomy places the organism in Eukaryota, Metazoa, Chordata, Actinopteri, Syngnathiformes, Syngnathidae. The record is from the annotation of a RefSeq genome assembly.
UGUGUGUCAGGAGUUGGGAGAUUACUUUUUGGAAGCGGCACCAGACUGACUGUGGAGACUCAGGAGGACUUUGAGCCAUCCUUCUACAAACUUGAGACUAGCAACCUGACAGCGUGUCUCGCCACCGGCUUCAGCAGACGCAAUGCCACGGAGAAGGCGGAAAAAGGUCACAUGUUCGAGGAGUCUUUCCCCGUGCGAAUAUCGGACGACUCGUUAUACAACCAGGUGGCACUGCUAACAGUCGCACAUGACGACAUGUGCGAGGAAGGUGACAGUGGACCAGGGCAGUACCAGGACACGUUGGUGCCAGACGAGAAGGUGAACCUCCUGUCCCUCGCCGUCCUCGCCCUACGCCUCAUCUUCGCCAAGACGCUCGCCAUCAACUGUGUCAUGACACUGGGCCUGUGGUUUGGUGCACCGGAGUAGCCAGCGCGGCGCCACCGCCUUCCUCUUCCUCCUGCGCUCAUGUUCGAACGUGUCGCUUUUUACAUGUCAGUUAGCUAUAAAAUGCAUCAUUAUAUCAACAAAAAUUCAAUAAAAAAUUUUUUUAUUAAGGGC